CGCAUAAUUAAUUAAUUACAAUUUUUAAAAAUAUUAAAAAAUAAAAAUAAAGGAAAUUAUUAAAAAUUUCAAAAGUUUAUUAAAAAAAAGGAAAUACAGAAAAAAAUAUUAAAAAAUAAAUCCUAAAAACCAUGCAACUCUUCUCACAUGCAAUCUUCAACAGCUUUAGAAAUUAGAACCCAUUUUGUUCAACGCCCGCUUAUCAACCAUGCUUAAAUUCCUUAGCAAGAAAAUCAAGCGCCUCUUUGUUCCCGCCUCUGGUGGCCGUUCGUCAUCGGUUCGUCGCAUCCAGUGAGUUUUCCAACAAAUAUGGGAAAUGGAACCGAUGGUUGCGAGAGAUAUAGAAGCAGAAAGACGGCGAUAAAAGCCUAAAAACUUUGAUGCAUAGUUACAUACAAUUGCUAAUGGGGUGGGGGAGCUACUCUAAUUUUUUUUAUAGUUAUUGAUAAACUAAUUAUUGAAUUAUAUGUUAGCAAUAAUUAAAUUGGAAAGAUUGCAAAAGUUCAAAAGUUAAGUAUCGUGAAAUUAAUGUAAAGAGAACUAAUUUGCAAAUAGCAUAAAAAUUAAAAGUGUGAAAUAAAAAUACUUGAAUUGAGAGUUUGAAUGAAUAGUUUAUGAUUGUGAAUUUAGUUCUAAGUGAAAUAAAAGUGAUAAUUUAAUGAAUAUUGAUUUUCAUGAAAAUAAUAAAUAAAUUGUAAAGAAUGUGAAGUUUUAUAUGCUAUUAAUUAAU
This 730-nucleotide long non-coding RNA is filed under the name Gossypium raimondii (Peruvian cotton). RNAcentral describes it as "long non-coding RNA (GRAI_LNC006828)". Lineage: Eukaryota; Viridiplantae; Streptophyta; Magnoliopsida; Malvales; Malvaceae. The record is from RNAcentral.